AGAGUCAUAGCUCAGUGAGAAAGAAUAUGUUUUGCAUGCAGAAGGUCCUGGGUUCAACCCCCAGCAACUCCA
Podarcis lilfordi (Lilford's wall lizard) is the source of this 72-nucleotide non-coding RNA. NCBI's taxonomy places the organism in Eukaryota, Metazoa, Chordata, Lepidosauria, Squamata, Lacertidae. The record is from the annotation of a GenBank genome assembly.